UUGCGCCUACGGGGGGCAGCAGUGAGGAAUAUUGGUCAAUGGCCGGAAGGCUGAACCAGCCAAGCCGCGUGAAGGACGAAGGUGCCAAGCAUUGUAAACUUCUUUUGUCAAGGGACAAAAUCAGGCUCGAGAGCCUGACCGAGGGUACUUGAAGAAAAAGCAUCGGCUAACUCCGUGCCAGCAGCCGCGGUAAUACGGAGGAUGCGAGCGUUAUCCGGAUUUAUUGGGUUUAAAGGGUGCGUAGGCGGUUUUUUAAGUUAGUGGUUAAACGU
This 272-nucleotide ribosomal RNA is filed under the name uncultured bacterium. Its description in RNAcentral is "partial 16S ribosomal RNA". It matches the Rfam family "Bacterial small subunit ribosomal RNA", at positions 333 to 602 of the family's 1533-position model. The record is from RNAcentral.